RNAcentral lists this ribosomal RNA (513 nucleotides) under uncultured Glomus. RNAcentral describes it as "SSU rRNA". It matches the Rfam family "Eukaryotic small subunit ribosomal RNA", at positions 569 to 1084 of the family's 1831-position model. Lineage: Eukaryota; Fungi; Glomeromycota; Glomeromycetes; Glomerales; Glomeraceae. The record is from RNAcentral.
AGCAGCCGCGGUAAUUCCAGCUCCAAUAGCGUAUAUUAAAGUUGUUGCAGUUAAAAAGCUCGUAGUUGAAUUUCGAGACCGGCUUACUGGUCGUGCUAUUGUACGUACUGGUAUAAUCGGUUUCUCCUUUCUGACGAACUUUAAUGCCAUUAAUUUGGUGUUUUAGGGAAUCAGGACUGUUACUUUGAAAAAAUUAGAGUGUUUAAAGCAGGCUCACGCUUGAAUACAUUAGCAUGGAAUAACGGAAUAGGACGUUUGAUUCUAUUUUGUUGGUUUCUAGGAUCGACGUAAUGAUUAAUAGGGAUAGUUGGGGGCAUUAGUAUUCAAUUGUCAGAGGUGAAAUUCUUGGAUUUAUUGAAGACUAACUACUGCGAAAGCAUUUGCCAAGGAUGUUUUCAUUAAUCAAGAACGAGAGUUAGGGGAUCGAAGACGAUCAGAUACCGUCGUAGUCUUAACCAUAAACUAUGCCGACUAGGGAUCGGAUGAUGUUAAUUUUUAAUGGUCUCAUUCGGC